AUGUCUACUAGGGGUUUAGGAUUCUCUGACACUCUUAGUUUCAAUGGCACAAAUUUUGAUGUUUGGGUAAUUCACAUGCUUAAUCUCUUUAGGGUCAUGGACCCAAAUUUAGAGCGAAUUGUAGAUAUGGGUUUUUCUCCUCCAAAGGAUCCCCAAAGAUUAUCUUUAGAGGAUGAGAAAAACUCUUAUCUCAAUGCUCAAGCUUCUAGUGUGCUUUUUGAUGCUUUGAGCAAUGUAGUUAUUUUUCAAGUCAUGCCGUUUCGGGAUGCUCAUGAGUUGUGGACAAAGCUUCAAGAUAAAUAUGGCGUGUCCAAGUUUUGUGGGGAUGAUUGUUCUCCCUCCACCUCGGGCCGUGUUGCUUUCUCAACUUCUUCUACUUCACCUACAUGUGGAUUGCCACAAGGUAAUGAUAUGGUGAGUAGUGGUGUUCAUUGUAAUGAUGAUAGUGUGCUUAUCGUUGAUGAUUCCUCAUCACUAUCUUAUUGCAAUGCUCCAUCUUUGGAUUUCAACACUCCGAGCUCUCUAAAUGUUUCACAUGCUUGUGUUGAUAGUCCUUGCAUAUCAUGUAGAAAUUGCUUUGCUAAAUCUCAUGAUGAUAUGCUUGCCAUGUCCUGUUGCCAUGAUAAAAAUGCACCUAUUUCCUCAAAUUGUUGUGCUAACAAUGUAGAGGAAACCCAAGACCCCAUGGAACAAGAUGUGGUCUUGAAUGGUGCCUCAAGGGAUCCUACAUCAUCAUCAAUUGCGUUUUGCCUUAUGGCUAAGGCUUCAAAGGUAUCUCCCACUUUGAAUCCCAAUAUAUAUUGUGAUGAUAUUGAUGAUGAUGAUGUUGAUAGUGAUGAAGAGAAUGAUACUGUUGCCUCCUUAAAAAUUAAGGGGGAAAUGAUUUUUAAAGCUCUUCAUAAGAAUAAAAUUGCUCGUUCCAACUUCAUGGAAAUCAUGUCUAUUGCUACUGAGGGCAAGAAAUAUAUUGAUGAGUUGGAAUCUCAUCUUGAGGAGCAUGAGGUCACCAUUGACAAAAUGGAAGGUCAUGAGCGUGAUUACGCUAAUGAGAUUGCGGACCUCUCCCAAGCUCUUGAACUUGAACAAACCACCAAGGAAUCUCUUGAGGAGACUUUUGCUCUAGAAUUAUCUAGAGUGAAGGAAUCUCAUGAUAGAGCUCUUGAGGUGGACAAUGUUUUUAAAACUAAAAAUGCUAAGCUUGAAGUUGCUCAUGCUAGACUCCUUGAGAAUUUUGAGCACCUCGAAAAUGGCUCAAGGGUCAUUAAGGGUGAGCUCAUCAAACUCACCGAGUCUCAUGCUCAACUUGAAGCUUCUUAUUUAAAAGAGCUUUCCAAGUUGUCCUCUCCUCUUAUUGUUAAUGAUGAUGCUUGUGCUACUAAGUCUAUUACUUGUGAAGCAUCCAUUUUGAAGGAGAAUGUUGAGCUACGGGCUCAACUUGAGUUGCUAUCUAGCAAUUAUGGGAAAUUGGAAGAAAGUCAUGAAAAGCUCUCAAGCUCUCAUGAUGAUCUUCUAGUAUCCCAUAAUGUGCUAAAGAUAGCUCAUGAGGCCAUGAUUGCUAAGGUAACAUCUAGUGAGCCUCAUGUGGAUACUAGCACUACUUCUAGUCAAAAUGCUAUGUUGCCAUGUGCUAGUCCUUGUAAUUCAUCUACUCACAAUGUUGGUACAUCUUGUGAUGAAUUGCUUUCCUUGCCUUAUUGCUCUGAAGAUGAAGCUUAUAUUUCCUCUAGUACUUGUGUUGAGACUAACCAUGUAGAGGAAAUCAAAGAGCUCAAGGCCCAAGUCACUUCUUUGAAGAAAGACUUGGAAAAGAGUCAUGAAGGGAAAUUCACACUCAACAAUAUCUUGAGUGUGCAAAAAUCCCCCAAUGACAAAGGUGGACUUGGAUUCAACUCCAACAAGAAGAAGAAGUCCAAGAUGAACAAAAAGAAGGGCCAAGAACAAGUCAAGAAUUCGGCCAAGAUUGUUUGCUUCAAGUGCAAAGUUGAAGGGCAUCAUGUUAGAUCUUGCCCAUUGAAGAAGAAGCCCAUUAGUGACAGGCAACAAGGGAAGCGUCCACAAGUUCAUUCUCAUGCUCAACCUCAAGUUGAAGAAAGGCCUCUUCCCAAGAAAACUCAAGCUUAUGCUUCUCAAGUUGAGAAAUCAAGUGAGAAGAAAGUGAAGAGUAGACGUUGCUACCUAUGUCGUGAGAAAGGUCACCUCGCCUCUUUAUGCACUAGUGGUAACUUAUCCAACCCAACUAUUAUUGAUGAUACCUAUUCUCUUGGGAAGGAUAAUGUUGGCAAUGUGUUUGCCAAAGUUGUUGGUACUCAAUGUGGUGUCAAGAAAAGAACCAUUUGGGUAGCCAAGCCUAUUGUGACUAAUCUCUUAGGACCCAACUUGGUUGGGGACCAACUAGCUCAAACUUGA
This 2406-nucleotide ribosomal RNA is filed under the name Triticum aestivum (bread wheat). RNAcentral describes it as "partial small subunit ribosomal RNA". The record is from RNAcentral. Lineage: Eukaryota; Viridiplantae; Streptophyta; Magnoliopsida; Poales; Poaceae.